This 468-nucleotide ribosomal RNA is filed under the name uncultured bacterium. RNAcentral describes it as "partial 16S ribosomal RNA". It matches the Rfam family "Bacterial small subunit ribosomal RNA", at positions 28 to 507 of the family's 1533-position model. The record is from RNAcentral.
GACGAACGCUGGCGGCGUGCUUAACACAUGCAAGUCGAACGGAAAGGCCCUGCUUUUGUGGGGUGCUCGAGUGGCGAACGGGUGAGUAACACGUGAGUAACCUGCCCUUGACUUUGGGAUAACUUCAGGAAACUGGGGCUACUACCGGAUAGGAGCUCCUGCUGCAUGGUGGGGGUUGGAAAGUUUCGGCGGUUGGGGAUGGACUCGCGGCUUAUCAGCUUGUUGGUGGGGUAGUGGCUUACCAAGGCUUUGACGGGUAGCCGGCCUGAGAGGGUGACCGGCCACAUUGGGACUGAGAUACGGCCCAGACUCCUACGGGAGGCAGCAGUGGGGAAUAUUGAACAAUGGGCGGAAGCCUGAUGCAGCAACGCCGCGUGCGGGAUGACGGCCUUCGGGUUGUAAACCGCUUUCGCCUGUGACGAAGCGUGAGUGACGGUAAUGGGUAAAGAAGCACCGGCUAACUACGUG